AGCAGCCGCGGUAAUUCCAGCUCCGAUAGCGUAUAUUAAAGUUGUUGCAGUUAAAAAGCUCGUAGUUGAAUUUCGGGAUCGAAUUGUCGGUCGUGCUUCGGUACGCACUGGCAUUAUCGGUUCCUACCUUCUGAAGAACCGCGAUGUCAUUAAUUUGGUGUCGUGGGGAAUCAGGACUGUUACUUUGAAAAAUUAGAGUGUUUAAAGCAGGCUUACGCUUGAAUACAUUAGCAUGGAAUAAUGAAAUAGGACGUUUGAUUCUAUUUUGUUGGUUUCUAGGAUCGACGUAAUGAUUAAUAGGGAUAGUUGGGGGCAUUAGUAUUCAAUUGUCAGAGGUGAAAUUCUUGGAUUUAUUGAAGACUAACUACUGCGAAAGCAUUUGCCAAGGAUGUUUUCAUUAAUCAAGAACGAAAGUUAGGGGAUCGAAGACGAUCAGAUACCGUCGUAGUACUUAACCAUAAACUAUCGACCGACGUAGGGAUCGGAUGAUUGUUUAAUUUUAUAAUGUACUCUAUUCGGC
Molecule: ribosomal RNA, 520 nt
Filed under: uncultured Glomus
Lineage: Eukaryota; Fungi; Glomeromycota; Glomeromycetes; Glomerales; Glomeraceae
Description: SSU rRNA
Rfam family: Eukaryotic small subunit ribosomal RNA
Source: RNAcentral